ACCGUAAAAUUGCAGUUGAUACUGGAUAUCUUGAGUGCAGUUGAGGCAGGCGGAAUUCGUGGUGUAGCGGUGAAAUGCUUAGAUAUCACGAAGAACUCCGAUUGCGAAGGCAGCCUGCUAAGCUGCAACUGACAUUGAGGCUCGAAAGUGUGGGUAUCAAACAGGAUUAGAUACCCUGGUAGUCCACACGGUAAACGAUGAAUACUCGCUGUUUGCGAUAUACUGCAAGCGGCCAAGCGAAAGCGUUAAGUAUUCCACCUGGGGAGUACGCCGGCAACGGUGAAACUCAAAGGAAUUGACGGGGGCCCGCACAAGCGGAGGAACAUGUGGUUUAAUUCGAUGAUACGCGAGGAACCUUACACGGGCUUAAAUUGCAGAUGAAUUACGGUGAAAGCCGUAAGCCGCAAGGCAUCUGUGAAGGUGCUGCAUGGUUGUCGUCAGCUCGUGCCGUGAGGUGUCGGCUUAAGUGCCAUAACGAGCGCAACCCUUGUUGUCAGUUACUAACAGGUUCCGCUGAGGACUCUGACAAGACUGCCAUCGUAAGAUGUGAGGAAGGUGGGGAUGACGUCAAAUCAGCACGGCCCUUACGUCCGGGGCUACACACGUGUUACAAUGGGGGGUACAGAGGGCCGCUACCACGCGAGUGGAUGCCAAUCCCCAAAACCUCUCUCAGUUCGGACUGGAGUCUGCAACCCGACUCCACGAAGCUGGAUUCGCUAGUAAUCGCGCAUCAGCCACGGCGCGGUGAAUACGUUCCCGGGCCUUGUACACACCGCCCGUCAAGCCAUGGGAGCCGGGGGUACCUGAAGUGCGUAACCGCGAGGAGCGCCCUAGGGUAAAAC
Molecule: ribosomal RNA, 842 nt
Filed under: uncultured organism
Description: SSU rRNA
Rfam family: Bacterial small subunit ribosomal RNA
Source: RNAcentral